Molecule: ribosomal RNA, 463 nt
Filed under: uncultured bacterium
Lineage: Bacteria
Description: partial 16S ribosomal RNA
Rfam family: Bacterial small subunit ribosomal RNA
Source: RNAcentral
GACGAACGCUGGCGGCACGCCUAACACAUGCAAGUCGAACGGACUUACAAGAGCUUGCUUUUUUAAGUUAGUGGCGGACGGGUGAGUAACACGUGAGCAACCUGCCUCUGAGAGGGGGAUAGCUUCUGGAAACGGAUGGUAAUACCCCAUAAAAUAUAAAUAUCGCAUGAUAGAUAUAUCAAAGAAAUUCGCUCAGAGAUGGGCUCGCGUCUGAUUAGAUAGUUGGUGAGGUAACGGCUCACCAAGUCGACGAUCAGUAGCCGGACUGAGAGGUUGAACGGCCACAUUGGGACUGAGACACGGCCCAGACUCCUACGGGAGGCAGCAGUGGGGAAUAUUGCACAAUGGAGGGAACUCUGACGCAGCGAUGCCGCGUGGAGGAAGAAGGUUUUCGGAUUGUAAACUCCUUUUAUCAGGGACGAUAAUGACGGUACCUGAAGAAAAAGCUCCGGCUAACUACGUG